UACGUAGGGGGCUAGCGUUGCUCGGAAUCACUGGGCGUAAAGCGCACGUAGGCGGUUUGUUAAGUCAGGGGUGAAAUCCUGGAGCUCAACUCCAGAACUGCCUUUGAUACUGGCGAUCUUGAGUCCGGGAGAGGUGAGUGGAACUGCGAGUGUAGAGGUGAAAUUCGUAGAUAUCGGAAGGAACGCCGGUGGCGAAAGCGGCGCGCUGGACCUCUUCUGACGCUGAGGAGCGAAAGCUAGGGGAGCAAACGGG
This 253-nucleotide ribosomal RNA is filed under the name uncultured bacterium. RNAcentral's name for it is "partial 16S ribosomal RNA". It matches the Rfam family "Bacterial small subunit ribosomal RNA", at positions 524 to 776 of the family's 1533-position model. The record is from RNAcentral.